CGGCCAGACUCCUACGGGAGGCAGCAGUGGGGAAUAUUGCACAAUGGGCGAAAGCCUGAUGCAGCAACGCCGCGUGAUUGAAGAAGGCCUUCGGGUUGUAAAGAUCUUUAAUCAGGGACGAAAAAUGACGGUACCUGAAGAAUAAGCUCCGGCUAACUACGUGCCAGCAGCCGCGGUAAUACGUAGGGGGCAAGCGUUAUCCGGAUUUACUGGGUGUAAAGGGAGCGUAGACGGCGAAGAAAGUCUGAAGUGAAAGCCCGCGGCUCAACCGCGGAAUGGCCUUGGAAACUUUUUUGCUGGAGUACCGGAGAGGUAAGCGGAAUUCCUAGUGUAGCGGUGAAAUGCGUAGAUAUUAGGAGGAACACCAGUGGCGAAGGCGGCUUACUGGACGGUAACUGACGUUGAGGCUCGAAAGCGUGGGGAGCAAACAGGAUUAGAUACCCUAGUA
RNAcentral lists this ribosomal RNA (448 nucleotides) under uncultured bacterium. RNAcentral describes it as "bacterial SSU rRNA". It matches the Rfam family "Bacterial small subunit ribosomal RNA", at positions 328 to 792 of the family's 1533-position model. The record is from RNAcentral.